AUGCAAGCGCGGCACCGGUUGCGCCACCCGGCAGCGGCGCCCGCCGCCACUUACCGGCGGCUCAGCUCAGCUCAGCCCGGCUCGGCUCGGCUCGGCUCGGCACAGCUCGGUCCGGUCCGGUCCCGCGUGGCUCGGUCCCGCGCGGCUCCGCUCCGCUCCGCGCCGCUCGCCCCGGGAGUGUUAGUGCUAGAGCUGCCGCCGAGGGGGGGUAGAAGGGCGGCGCGAUCCCGCAUCCGGCGGGCGGAGCGGCGCCGCCCCGGGCCGAGCCCCGGAAACCGGCUCGGCGCUCGCCCCCCGCUCCCGCCCCGCCCCGGGCACCGGCGGCUCCGCCGCGUCCCGCGCCCGCCCGCCCGGGACCCGCCGCUCCCGCCCCGGGCACCGGCGCCUCCCUGCGCCCGCAGCGGAGCCCGGUGCGGGGGCUCCGGCGACCCCGGUGCGGCCCCAGCGGCGAGCCCGGCCCGGCCAAGGUCCUGGCCCCGGUGCCGGUGCCGUCCAGUGGCGCAGGACAGCUCCAGGGUCCCCGCAUCCCUACUGGGCUGCCCAGCUCCCGGCGGCACGGGCCAUUCCUGCUGCCUGCAGCCACCACCCUUUUUUAAGUCAAAAAAAAUAUACAUAUAUAUAUUUUUUUCUCUCUCUCUCUCUAUAUAUAUAUAUUUUUUAAGUCAUAGAUUGCAUCUCUUUAUGGCAGCCCAUGCGGCCGGGUCGGCCCAGCCCGGCUUGGCACCCCGGGGAGCGCUCCCGCCGUGGCCCUGCAGCAUCCGAGGCCAAAGCGAGGGGGAAAUGCGAACAGCGGCACCAGCCACGCUUCCCCCCAGGGAAAGGAUGAGGAGGGAGAGGUUUCCCGGAGUGCAAACACAGCCCUCCCACGGGCUCGGCUCUCCGUGUUGGGAGGAUGCAGCCUGCUCCAGGGCUCGGAGUGAGGCUGGGGUGCAGCGGGCAGGCGCAGCCCCCCGGCACGGUGGCCCGGGGGAGGCCAGCCGAGGCGCAGGAGCACCGUGCCGGGCAGCAUCCUCGCCGCUCGCAAGACGGAGAAACUCGGUGAGCAACAGGCAGCUCUGUGUGCUGGGAAGUGCCAGCAUUGGGAAAGCGCCCGGCGCGGGAACAGCUUCCCCUUGCAGAGGGCCCGGAGUCAGGGGCGAGUCACGAGUCGGCACCCUCCCCUCCAGCGCGCAGCGCAGGCUGAGACCGGCCUCCUCGAAACCCGCUCCUGAUGCAACGCGGCCCCCCCGCGCCGAGCAGCCCGCUGCGAGGCAGAGCAAAGGCGGGCAGCGAGCCGGCAGCUGCCUGCCAGCGCAGGCAAGCCUCCGCGUCGGCCGCGCCAGCCGCUCGGCAGCAACAGGCUUCCCGCGCGGAGCCCCGCGGGGAGGAGACAAAAGGCUCCGCUCAGCCCCGUCACGGGCUCGAGGCGAUGGAAACGGCCCGGCAGCAUCCUGCGAAAGCGGCCGCCGGGCUGUGAUGCAGACGUUCCUCUCGCUCUCCGGCCCCGCGCGGAUAAAUGAACUGCAUCCCAGUGACGCCCCUGCCCUCCCCGGCCGCGCGCGCCCUGCUAGGAAGGAAGUGAGCUCAAGAUGA
Molecule: long non-coding RNA, 1572 nt
Organism: Apteryx haastii (Great spotted kiwi)
Lineage: Eukaryota; Metazoa; Chordata; Aves; Apterygiformes; Apterygidae
Source: Ensembl